GUUAAAACAAAUUAUUAUCUAAUACCUUUCUUGUGAACAAAAAAAAGUUAAGGAACAACUUUUAACC
RNAcentral lists this transfer RNA (67 nucleotides) under Hirudinaria manillensis. RNAcentral describes it as "tRNA-His". The record is from RNAcentral. Lineage: Eukaryota; Metazoa; Annelida; Clitellata; Hirudinida; Hirudinidae.